This 701-nucleotide ribosomal RNA is filed under the name uncultured Enterobacteriaceae bacterium. Its description in RNAcentral is "bacterial SSU rRNA". It matches the Rfam family "Bacterial small subunit ribosomal RNA", at positions 801 to 1502 of the family's 1533-position model. Lineage: Bacteria; Pseudomonadati; Pseudomonadota; Gammaproteobacteria; Enterobacterales; Enterobacteriaceae. The record is from RNAcentral.
UGUAAACGAUGUCGAUUUGGAGUUUGUUGCCUAGAGUGAUGGGCUCCGAAGCUAACGCGAUAAAUCGACCGCCUGGGGAGUACGGCCGCAAGGUUAAAACUCAAAUGAAUUGACGGGGGCCCGCACAAGCGGUGGAGCAUGUGGUUUAAUUCGAUGCAACGCGAAGAACCUUACCUGGUCUUGACAUCCAUAGAAUUCUGCAGAGAUGUGGGAGUGCCUUCGGGAACUAUGAGACAGGUGCUGCAUGGCUGUCGUCAGCCCGUGUUGUGAAAUGUUGGGUUAAGUCCCGCAACGAGCGCAACCCUUAUUCUUUGUUGCCAGCGAUUUGGUCGGGAACUCAAAGGAGACUGCCGUUGAUAAAGCGGAGGAAGGUGGGGACGACGUCAAGUCAUCAUGGCCCUUACGACCAGGGCUACACACGUGCUACAAUGGCGUAUACAAAGGGAAGCGAAGGUGCGAGCUGGAGCGGAUCUCGUAAAGUACGUCUAAGUUCGGAUUGGAGUCUGCAACUCGACUCCAUGAAGUCGGAAUCGCUAGUAAUCGUAGAUCAGAAUGCUACGGUGAAUACGUUCCCGGGCCUUGUACACACCGCCCGUCACACCAUGGGAGUGGGUUGCACCAGAAGUAGAUAGCUUAACCGCGAGGGGGGCGUUUACCACGGUGUGAUUCAUGACUGGGGUGAAGUCGUAACAAGGUAACCA